This 921-nucleotide ribosomal RNA is filed under the name Staphylococcus aureus. RNAcentral describes it as "partial 23S ribosomal RNA". It matches the Rfam family "Bacterial large subunit ribosomal RNA", at positions 231 to 1150 of the family's 2925-position model. Lineage: Bacteria; Bacillati; Bacillota; Bacilli; Caryophanales; Staphylococcaceae. The record is from RNAcentral.
UCGAUUCCCUUAGUAGCGGCGAGCGAAACGGGAAGAGCCCAAACCAACAAGCUUGCUUGUUGGGGUUGUAGGACACUCUAUACGGAGUUACAAAGGACGACAUUAGACGAAUCAUCUGGAAAGAUGAAUCAAAGAAGGUAAUAAUCCUGUAGUCGAAAAUGUUGUCUCUCUUGAGUGGAUCCUGAGUACGACGGAGCACGUGAAAUUCCGUCGGAAUCUGGGAGGACCAUCUCCUAAGGCUAAAUACUCUCUAGUGACCGAUAGUGAACCAGUACCGUGAGGGAAAGGUGAAAAGCACCCCGGAAGGGGAGUGAAAUAGAACCUGAAACCGUGUGCUUACAAGUAGUCAGAGCCCGUUAAUGGGUGAUGGCGUGCCUUUUGUAGAAUGAACCGGCGAGUUACGAUUUGAUGCAAGGUUAAGCAGUAAAUGUGGAGCCGUAGCGAAAGCGAGUCUGAAUAGGGCGUUUAGUAUUUGGUCGUAGACCCGAAACCAGGUGAUCUACCCUUGGUCAGGUUGAAGUUCAGGUAACACUGAAUGGAGGACCGAACCGACUUACGUUGAAAAGUGAGCGGAUGAACUGAGGGUAGCGGAGAAAUUCCAAUCGAACCUGGAGAUAGCUGGUUCUCUCCGAAAUAGCUUUAGGGCUAGCCUCAAGUGAUGAUUAUUGGAGGUAGAGCACUGUUUGGACGAGGGGCCCCUCUCGGGUUACCGAAUUCAGACAAACUCCGAAUGCCAAUUAAUUUAACUUGGGAGUCAGAACAUGGGUGAUAAGGUCCGUGUUCGAAAGGGAAACAGCCCAGACCACCAGCUAAGGUCCCAAAAUAUAUGUUAAGUGGAAAAGGAUGUGGCGUUGCCCAGACAACUAGGAUGUUGGCUUAGAAGCAGCCAUCAUUUAAAGAGUGCGUAAUAGCUCACUAGUC